Non-coding RNA from Pelobates cultripes (western spadefoot toad), 311 nucleotides. Lineage: Eukaryota; Metazoa; Chordata; Amphibia; Anura; Pelobatidae. The record is from the annotation of a GenBank genome assembly.
CAGAGAUUCAAAGCCUUCUUCUACAUACACGCCAACAAAGGAGGGAGACUGCUGGCAUGCAUGAUCAGAAACCAACAAGCUAGGACUCAGGUACAUGAACUGCGAACGACCAAGGGCACCCCCACACAACACCCAGAGGCAAUAAGUGAACAAUUCCACACAUACUAUCAAAAAUUGUACAAAAUCGCUCCAGCGAACCCUGUCAUACAUCGGGAUGGCUACGACGCAAUAUCUACAAGGCUUUAGUCCUAUCGCCAGAGGAGGCAAACAUGCUAGAAACCCCAAUAACUGCAGACGAAAUCCAAGCGGCG